This 194-nucleotide ribosomal RNA is filed under the name uncultured Glomus. Its description in RNAcentral is "partial 18S ribosomal RNA". It matches the Rfam family "Eukaryotic small subunit ribosomal RNA", at positions 569 to 766 of the family's 1831-position model. Lineage: Eukaryota; Fungi; Glomeromycota; Glomeromycetes; Glomerales; Glomeraceae. The record is from RNAcentral.
AGCAGCCGCGGUAAUUCCAGCUCCAAUAGCGUAUAUUAAAGUUGUUGCAGUUAAAAAGCUCGUAGUUGAAUUUCGAGACCGGUUUACUGGUCGUGCUUUUGUACGUACUGGUAUUAUUGGUUUCUACCUUCUGAAGAACCUUGAUGUCAUUAAUUUGGUGUCUUGGGGAAUCAGGACUGUUACUUUGAAAAAAU